AACGAACGCUGGCGGCAUGCCUAACACAUGCAAGUCGAACGAGACCUUCGGGUCUAGUGGCGCACGGGUGCGUAACGCGUGGGAAUCUACCCUUGGGUUCGGAAUAACAGUUAGAAAUGACUGCUAAUACCGGAUGAUGACGUAAGUCCAAAGAUUUAUCGCCCAAGGAUGAGCCCGCGUAAGAUUAGCUUGUUGGUGGGGUAAAGGCCUACCAAGCCGACGAUCUUUAGCUGGUCUGAGAGGAUGAUCAGCCACACUGGGACCGAGACACGGCCCAGACUCCUACGGGAGGCAGCAGUGGGGAAUAUUGGACAAUGGGCGAAAGCCUGAUCCAGCAAUGCCGCGUGAGUGAUGAAGGCCUUAGGGUUGUAAAGCUCUUUUACCAGGGAUGAUAAUGACAGUACCUGGAGAAUAAGCUCCGGCUAACUCCGUGCCAGCCGCCGCCGUAA
This 449-nucleotide ribosomal RNA is filed under the name uncultured bacterium. RNAcentral describes it as "partial 16S ribosomal RNA". It matches the Rfam family "Bacterial small subunit ribosomal RNA", at positions 29 to 523 of the family's 1533-position model. The record is from RNAcentral.